GGGUGUGUGACUCAGGGGUGGGAGGCUUGCCUAAUGUGCAAGAGGCCCUGGGUUCAACCCCCAGCACUUCCC
This 72-nucleotide transfer RNA is filed under the name Cavia porcellus (domestic guinea pig). It matches the Rfam family "tRNA". Rfam says of the family: Transfer RNA (tRNA) molecules are approximately 80 nucleotides in length. Their secondary structure includes four short double-helical elements and three loops (D, anti-codon, and T loops). Further hydrogen bonds mediate the characteristic L-shaped molecular structure. tRNAs have two regions of fundamental functional importance: the anti-codon, which is responsible for specific mRNA codon recognition, and the 3' end, to which the tRNAs corresponding amino acid is attached (by aminoacyl-tRNA synthetases). tRNAs cope with the degeneracy of the genetic code in two manners: having more than one tRNA (with a specific anti-codon) for a particular amino acid; and 'wobble' base-pairing, i.e. permitting non-standard base-pairing at the 3rd anti-codon position. Lineage: Eukaryota; Metazoa; Chordata; Mammalia; Rodentia; Caviidae. The record is from Rfam by way of RNAcentral.